AGAGUUGAUCAUGGCUCAGACGACGCUGCGGCGCGCCUAACACAUGCAAGUCGAACGGAGAAAGAAACAGCUUGCUGGAUCUUUCUUAGUGGCGGACGGGUGAGUAACACGUGAGCAACCUGCCCUUCAGAGUGGAAUAACGUUUGGAAACGAACGCUAAUACCGCAUAACACCAUUGGAUGGCAUCAUCUGGUGGUCAAAGAUUUAUCGCUGAGGGAUGGGCUCGCGUCCGAUUAGGUAGUUGGUGAGAUAACAGCCCACCAAGCCGACGAUCGGUAGCCGGACUGAGAGGUUGAACGGCCACAUUGGGACUGAGACACGGCCCAGACUCCUACGGGAGGCAGCAGUGGGGGAUAUUGCACAAUGGGGGAAACCCUGAUGCAGCGACGCCGCGUGAGGGAAGACGGUUUUCGGAUUGUAAACCUCUGUCUUUGGGGACGAAGAAAUGACGGUACCCAAGGAGGAAGCCACGGCUAACUACGUGCCAGCAGCCGCGGUAAUACGUAGGUGGCAAGCGUUGUCCGGAAUUACUGGGUGUAAAGGGAGCGUAGGCGGGAAAGCAAGUUGAAUGUUUAAACUAUCGGCUCAACCGGUAGUCGCGUUCAAAACUGCUUUUCUUGAGUGGAGUAGAGGCAGGCGGAAUUCCUAGUGUAGCGGUGAAAUGCGUAGAUAUUAGGAGGAACACCAGUGGCGAAGGCGGCCUGCUGGGCUCUAACUGACGCUGAGGCUCGAAAGCGUGGGUAGCAACAGGAUUAGAUACCCUGGUAGUCCACGCUGUAAACGCCUUUCUAGGUGUGGGUKGWCUGACCCCAUCCGACCGGAGWAACACAAU
RNAcentral lists this ribosomal RNA (832 nucleotides) under uncultured Oscillospiraceae bacterium. Its description in RNAcentral is "bacterial SSU rRNA". It matches the Rfam family "Bacterial small subunit ribosomal RNA", at positions 8 to 861 of the family's 1533-position model. Lineage: Bacteria; Bacillati; Bacillota; Clostridia; Eubacteriales; Oscillospiraceae. The record is from RNAcentral.